UACGAAGGGGGCUAGCGUUGCUCGGAAUCACUGGGCGUAAAGCGCACGUAGGCGGAUUGCUAAGUCAGGGGUGAAAUCCUGGAGCUCAACUCCAGAACUGCCUUUGAUACUGGCGACCUUGAGUCCGGGAGAGGUGAGUGGAACUGCGAGUGUAGAGGUGAAAUUCGUAGAUAUUCGCAAGAACACCAGUGGCGAAGGCGGAUCUCUGGGCCGAUACUGACGCUGAGGAGCGAAAGCGUGGGGAGCGAACAGG
Molecule: ribosomal RNA, 253 nt
Filed under: uncultured bacterium
Lineage: Bacteria
Description: partial 16S ribosomal RNA
Rfam family: Bacterial small subunit ribosomal RNA
Source: RNAcentral